This 787-nucleotide ribosomal RNA is filed under the name uncultured bacterium. RNAcentral's name for it is "bacterial SSU rRNA". It matches the Rfam family "Bacterial small subunit ribosomal RNA", at positions 62 to 813 of the family's 1533-position model. The record is from RNAcentral.
UCGAACGAGUUCUCGUUGAUGAUCGGUGCUUGCACCGAGAUUCAACAUGGAACGAGUGGCGGACGGGUGAGUAACACGUGGGUAACCUGCCCUUAAGUGGGGGAUAACAUUUGGAAACAGAUGCCAAUACCGCAUAGAUCCAAGAACCGCAUGGUUCUUGGCUGAAAGAUGGCGUAAGCUAUCGCUUUUGGAUGGACCCGCGGCGUAUUAGCUAGUUGGUGAGGUAAUGGCUCACCAAGGCGAUGAUACGUAGCCGAACUGAGAGGUUGAUCGGCCACAUUGGGACUGAGACACGGCCCAAACUCCUACGGGAGGCAGCAGUAGGGAAUCUUCCACAAUGGACGCAAGUCUGAUGGAGCAACGCCGCGUGAGUGAAGAAGGCUUUCGGGUCGUAAAACUCUGUUGUUGGAGAAGAAUGGUCGGCAGAGUAACUGUUGUCGGCGUGACGGUAUCCAACCAGAAAGCCACGGCUAACUACGUGCCAGCAGCCGCAGUAAUACGUAGGUGGCAAGCGUUAUCCGGAUUUAUUGGGCGUAAAGCGAGCGCAGGCGGUUUUUUAAGUCUGAUGUGAAAGCCCUCGGCUUAACCGAGGAAGCGCAUCGGAAACUGGGAAACUUGAGUGCAGAAGAGGACAGUGGAACUCCAUGUGUAGCGGUGAAAUGCGUAGAUAUAUGGAAGAACACCAGUGGCGAAGGCGGCUGUCUGGUCUGUAACUGACGCUGAGGCUCGAAAGCAUGGGUAGCGAACAGGAUUAGAUACCCUGGUAGUCCAUGCCGUAAGCGAUGAA